RNAcentral lists this unclassified non-coding RNA (275 nucleotides) under Hevea brasiliensis (rubber tree). Lineage: Eukaryota; Viridiplantae; Streptophyta; Magnoliopsida; Malpighiales; Euphorbiaceae. The record is from RNAcentral.
GGGUAAGAUACUAAAUCUCUAAAUUUCCUUUUGAUAAUAAAUAAAUAAAUCAUGAAAGAUACAUAUGAUAUCUUGAGCUAAGGUGUUGUCUUAAACAAUGGAUAUUAAUAAAAAUAUUGAGUUGUGAUAAGGGAUUUUGUAUUUCUACCCAUAAUGUUUCAAUCGAGAAUUAGAGACCCACUUUUAAACUUUUUUUUUUUGAACUGAAAUGUAAAUUUCAUUAAAUUUAGGAGAAGUACAGAAGGUUGGCUAUGGGCCAAGCCCAAACAAGCAAA